AAGUCGUAACAAGGUUUCCGUAGGUGAACCUGCGGAAGGAUCAUUAUCAACGUUCCUAACGUAAAACCAUUGUGAACCGUUAUCACCUCGGAGGUUGUCGUGGCGUGCCUCUCAUUAAUAACAAACGAAAUGAAAAAGAGAACGUAAGUGAAUGUGAGUUCUCGUUAUUGAUGGAACUACGGAAUCGUUAUGCCACACUUCGGAGUGUCAUGCGGUUUGUAUUAACGUAGCAUGAGGACAGGGAUUCGGUCCCGACACGAGAAUCACUGGGUCAUUUCACUAUUAUACAAACCCUAUUAACCUUUGAAACCCAAACUAUAAACUUGUCUGAAAUUGAUUUCUUACUCUAUCUUUCGGGAGGAGAAGAAAUAAAAUUACGAAAAAUAAGAACAACUCUUAGCAACGGAUAUCUUGGUUCUC
Molecule: unclassified non-coding RNA, 420 nt
Filed under: fungal sp.
Lineage: Eukaryota; Fungi
Description: partial internal transcribed spacer region
Rfam family: Eukaryotic small subunit ribosomal RNA (bases 1-46)
Source: RNAcentral